Daphnia magna is the source of this 59-nucleotide non-coding RNA. The record is from Rfam. Lineage: Eukaryota; Metazoa; Arthropoda; Branchiopoda; Diplostraca; Daphniidae.
GUAGCUCAAUGGUAGAGCGCUGGACUGGAAUACUCCAUACCUUGGGUUCGAAUCCCAUC